This 1067-nucleotide long non-coding RNA is filed under the name Homo sapiens (human). RNAcentral's name for it is "LHRI_LNC262.1". Lineage: Eukaryota; Metazoa; Chordata; Mammalia; Primates; Hominidae. The record is from RNAcentral.
AAACCAGAAAGUAACGGUUCCCGUCAGCUUGGGGAAGUGAAUCCUUCUGUGACUUCACCAACACUUACCCUAAAGAGGCCUAUAAAAAGCUCCUUUGGACUUCCCCCGCCUCCUAAGAAGGAGUAAAUAUCUCCUUGGCCUUGACCAAAUAGAGUUGGUAUUUAGCAGCUGCUUGAGCUGAUGCUUCUGAGGCAAAUGAGUCUCUUAACAUCUAACUGAGUUGGUCAGCUCUCUGUAAGAGGCCUGAAAGUCAGAAGGCAACUUGCUGUGUGUCUCUGGCAAGUAACUUUCCUUCUCUGGGCUGCAGUUCCUUCAUCUGUUCAGAUGGAGUUGGACUACAGGGUAGGUCAAGCCUUGCUGCCUCUGCACCUCCACAGUUCUAAAAUAUAAUCUGCAUUUUUUUUUUUUUUUGAGACGGAGCCUCGCUCUGUUGCCCAGGCUGGAGUGCAGUGGCGCAAUCUCGGCUCACUGCAAGCUCUGCCUCCCGGGCUCAAGCCAUUCUGCCUCAGCCUCCCGAGUAGCUGCGACUACGGGCACCUGCCACCACGCCCAGCUAAUUUUUUGUAUUUUUAGUAGAGACGGGGUUUCACCGUGUUAGCCAUGAUGGUCUCGAUCUCUUGACCUCGUGAUCCACCUGCCUCAGCCUCCCAAAGUGCUGGGAUUACAGGCGUGAGCCACUGUGCCCGGCCUUUUUUUUUUUUUUUUUUUUUUUUAAUGGAGAUGGAGUCUCACUAUGUUGUCCAGGCUGGUCUCGAGCUCCUGGCCUUAAGCAAUCACCUCGCUUCAGCCUCCCAAAGUGCUGGGAUCAAGGGUUUGAGCCACCAUAUGCCUGGACUUAAAAAAAACAACAACUCAUCAAAUAUUGAGGGCCUGUUUUGGCCAGACACUGUUUUAGAUGUUGGAGAUUCAGCAGUGAAUCAAUCAGAAUUCUUGCCCUCUUGGAUCAGGCUUUCUUUCACUCAGCAAUAUGCAGCUAAGGUUUUUCCACAAUUUCUCCUGGCCUGAUAGUGUGUUUCUUUUUGGUGUGGAAUAACAUUUCAUUGUGCGGUUCCAGCACACAGUUUGCU